GUGAGGAAUUUUCCGCAAUGGGCGAAAGCCUGACGGAGCAAUGCCGCGUGAAGGAUGAAGGCCUAUGGGUUGUAAACUUCUUUUCUCAGAAAAGAAUUAUGACGGUAUCUGAGGAAUAAGCAUCGGCUAACUCUGUGCCAGCAGCCGCGGUAAGACAGAGGAUGCAAGCGUUAUCUGGAAUGAUUGGGCGUAAAGCGUCUGUAGGUUGUUUAAAAAGUAUUCUGUCAAAGAUUAGGGCUUAACCCUAGAUAGGCAGAAUAAACUUUUAAGCUAGAGUUUGGUAGAGGCAGAGGGAAUUCCCGGUGGAGCGGUGAAAUGCGUAGAUAUCGGGAGGAACACCAAAGGCGAAGGCACUCUGCUGGGCCAAUACUAACACUGAGAGACGAAAGCGAGGGGAGCAAAUGGGAUUAGAUACCCGAGUAGUCC
Molecule: ribosomal RNA, 426 nt
Filed under: uncultured bacterium
Lineage: Bacteria
Description: partial 16S ribosomal RNA
Rfam family: Bacterial small subunit ribosomal RNA
Source: RNAcentral